GGAGUUAGCCGGUGCUUCUUCUGUGAGUGAUGUCCUUCCUGCCGGUUAUUGACCCGCAGGCCUUCUUCCUCACUGAAAGUGCUUUACAACCCGAAGGCCUUCUUCACACACGCGGCAUGGCUGGAUCAGGGUUGCCCCCAUUGUCCAAUAUUCCCCACUGCUGCCUCCCGUAGGAGUCUGGGCCGUGUCUCAGUCCCAGUGUGGCUGAUCAUCCUCUCAGACCAGAUACGGAUCGUCGCCUUGGUGAGCCGUUACCUCACCAACCAGCUAAUCCGACAUAGGCUCAUCCGAUAGCGCGAGGCCCGAAGGUCCCCCGCUUUCCCCCGUAGGGCGUAUGCGGUAUUAGCCUGGGUUUCCCCAGGUUAUCCCCCACUACCGGGCAGAUUCCUAUGCAUUACUCACCCGUCCGCCGCUCGCCACCAGGGAGCAAGCUCCCCGUGCUGCCGCUCGACUUGCAUGUGUUAGGCCUGCCGCCAGCGUUCAAUCUGAGCCAGAAUCAAACUCUGA
This 507-nucleotide ribosomal RNA is filed under the name uncultured bacterium. RNAcentral's name for it is "partial 16S ribosomal RNA". The record is from RNAcentral.